CACGUAGGGGGCGAGCGUUGUCCGGAAUUACUGGGCGUAAAGGGCGCGUAGGCGGCCUAAUAAGUCAGAUGUGAAACCCCCGGGCUUAACCCUGGGCUUGCAUUUGAAACUGUUGGGCUUGAGGACAGGAGAGGAAAGCGGAAUUCCCAGUGUAGCGGUGAAAUGCGUAGAUAUUGGGAGGAACACCAGUGGCGAAGGCGGCUUUCUGGACUGUAACUGACGCUGAGGCGCGAAAGCCAGGGUAGCGAACGGGAUUAGAUACCCCGGUAGUCCUGGCCGUAAACGAUGGAUACUAGGUGUGGGAGGUAUCGACCCCUUCCGUGCCGUAGCCAACGCACUAAGUAUCCCGCCUGGGGAGUACGGCCGCAAGGCUGAA
This 376-nucleotide ribosomal RNA is filed under the name uncultured bacterium. Its description in RNAcentral is "bacterial SSU rRNA". It matches the Rfam family "Bacterial small subunit ribosomal RNA", at positions 524 to 898 of the family's 1533-position model. The record is from RNAcentral.